AAAGACUUGACGGUACUUCACAACAACCUAGAGGAGCCUGUCUAAUAACCGAUACCCCACGAUUAACCCUACCCCCCCUAGCCAAAGCAGUCUAUAUACCGCCGUCGCCAGCUUACCUUGUGAAAGNAACAAAGUGAGCCCAACAGGCACCCCUAAUACGACAGGUCGAGGUGUAACUAAUGGGGGGGUUAAGAUGGGCUACAUUUUCUUACCAGAAAAUACAAAUAGACUAUGAAACUAGAAAUUGAAGGCGGAUUUAGCAGUAUGUUNNNAACAUAAUACCUA
RNAcentral lists this ribosomal RNA (285 nucleotides) under Heterodon nasicus. Its description in RNAcentral is "partial 12S ribosomal RNA". Lineage: Eukaryota; Metazoa; Chordata; Lepidosauria; Squamata; Dipsadidae. The record is from RNAcentral.